RNAcentral lists this ribosomal RNA (380 nucleotides) under Cedecea sp. 69R. RNAcentral describes it as "bacterial SSU rRNA". It matches the Rfam family "Bacterial small subunit ribosomal RNA", at positions 964 to 1346 of the family's 1533-position model. Lineage: Bacteria; Pseudomonadati; Pseudomonadota; Gammaproteobacteria; Enterobacterales; Enterobacteriaceae. The record is from RNAcentral.
AAGAACCUUACCUACUCUUGACAUCCAGAGAACUUUCCAGAGAUGGAUUGGUGCCUUCGGGAACUCUGAGACAGGUGCUGCAUGGCUGUCGUCAGCUCGUGUUGUGAAAUGUUGGGUUAAGUCCCGCAACGAGCGCAACCCUUAUCCUUUGUUGCCAGCGGUUAGGCCGGGAACUCAAAGGAGACUGCCAGUGAUAAACUGGAGGAAGGUGGGGAUGACGUCAAGUCAUCAUGGCCCUUACGAGUAGGGCUACACACGUGCUACAAUGGCGCAUACAAAGAGAAGCGACCUCGCGAGAGCAAGCGGACCUCAUAACGUGCUCUAGUCCGGAUUGGAGUCUGCAACUCGACUCCAUGAAGUCGGAAUCGCUAGUAAUCGUA